UGGUCCCUACGUUUACAGCACAUGUGUUGACUCUUCAACGAACCAGACAAAAUUGAAUCUCUUCGAAGUAGUAGACAGGGACGAAGAUGGGAAUCUCAUCCAAGGCAGGCUGAUGGC
Molecule: non-coding RNA, 117 nt
Filed under: Skeletonema menzelii
Lineage: Eukaryota; Bacillariophyta; Thalassiosirophyceae; Thalassiosirales; Thalassiosiraceae
Source: RNAcentral